RNAcentral lists this ribosomal RNA (372 nucleotides) under uncultured organism. RNAcentral describes it as "bacterial SSU rRNA". It matches the Rfam family "Bacterial small subunit ribosomal RNA", at positions 526 to 896 of the family's 1533-position model. The record is from RNAcentral.
CGUAGGGGACAAGCGUUAUCCGGAUUUACUGGGCGUAAAGCGCCCGUAGGCGGCCUGUCAAGUUGGACGUGAAAGCUCCUGGCUUAACUGGGAGAGGCCGUUCAAAACUGACAAGCUAGAGUCUGGAAGAGGAGCGUGGAAUUCCCGGUGUAGUGGUGGAAUGCGUAGAGAUCGGGAGGAACACCAGUGGCGAAAGCGACGCUCUGGUCCAAAACUGACGCUGAGGGGCGAAAGCGUGGGGAGCGAACGGGAUUAGAUACCCCGGUAGUCCACGCCGUAAACGAUGGAGACUAGGUGUAGGCGGAUAGAAAACCGUCUGUGCCGAAGCCAACGCGUUAAGUCUCCCGCCUGGGGAGUACGGCCGCAAGGUUA